AACACAUGCAAGUCGAGCGGUAACAGGUGUAGCAAUACAUGCUGACGAGCGGCGAACGGGUGAGUAAUGCUUCGGAAUCUACCCAAUGGCGGGGAAUAACUAGCCGAAAGGUUAGCUAAUACCGCAUAAGCCCUACGGGGGAAAGCAGGGGAUCGUAAGACCUUGCACCGAUGGAUGAGCCGAAGCCGGAUUAGCUAGUUGGUAGGGUAACGGCCUACCAAGGCGACGAUCCGUAGCUGGUCUGAGAGGACGACCAGCCACACUGGGACUGAGACACGGCCCAGACUCCUACGGGAGGCAGCAGUGGGGAAUAUUGGACAAUGGGGGAAACCCUGAUCCAGCGACGCCGCGUGUGUGAAGAAGGCCUGCGGGUUGUAAAGCACUUUUAGUGGGGAUGAAAAGUUCAGGGCUAAUAUCCCUGGAUCUUGACCUAACCCAAAGAAAAAGCACCGGCUAACUCUGUGCCAGCAGCCGCGGUAAUACAGAGGGUGCAAGCGUUAAUCGGAAUUACUGGGCGUAAAGCGUGCGUAGACGGUUAUGUAAGUCAGGUGUGAAAGCCCCGGGCUCAACCUGGGAAUGCCAUUUGAGACUGCAUAGCUAGGGUACGGAAGAGGGAAGCGGAAUUUCAGGUGUAGCGGUGAAAUGCGUA
RNAcentral lists this ribosomal RNA (649 nucleotides) under metal-contaminated soil clone K20-18. RNAcentral's name for it is "bacterial SSU rRNA". It matches the Rfam family "Bacterial small subunit ribosomal RNA", at positions 50 to 692 of the family's 1533-position model. The record is from RNAcentral. Lineage: Bacteria; Pseudomonadati; Pseudomonadota; Gammaproteobacteria.